RNAcentral lists this long non-coding RNA (11929 nucleotides) under Equus caballus (horse). RNAcentral's name for it is "lncRNA (ENSECAG00000051898.1)". The record is from RNAcentral. Lineage: Eukaryota; Metazoa; Chordata; Mammalia; Perissodactyla; Equidae.
CAGCCCCAGUGCCAGAACACAGCCUGAACGGGGAAAACAGAAAGCACUUCUCCAUUUAUUACUGUCUUACAAACAUUGUAACAACGGCAAGAAUAAAGGUUAGAGGAGCCACCAGCAGCCGUUGCAUGUUCUCUUCGUCCUCAGUCAACAUCUCACCUGGCCAUGUUCUUUACAUGGCAGCAUGACUCAAACCUUCCUUCAAAAUUCAUUAGAAGCAUCAGCUCUGCCCUCCAGCUGUUCUGCUCCAGACUGUCAUCCCUGACAGCUGCUCUACAGGGUAUCACGGCACACACCGCAGUGCAUCCUGAUGUCUGGCUUCCGGGAACUCCAACGUGUCAACAGAAAAGAUGAUCCGAGAUGGGCCUAAUCAGAGAGAGGGGAUCCCAAUGCAGGGCCAUGGAUGCUGAGGUCUAUGUCUGCACAUUUCUCCUGAAAUGUACAAGCCUGCGUCCAGAGAAAAUAGCCCGGUGUUGGAAAAGUUGAAGUCACAAGUUCGAAGAGCUUAAACAAACAAAGAGAAGACAUGAAGUAUGUUUACAAUCCUUUAAUUAAAAACCUAUUUAUAUUUAGCAUAUUUCCAGCCCAAUUUCAUUAAUUGGCCCUUCUAGGAAUUUGGGAGAUUGGAGGACAGAAUAGUGUUUUGUUCGACAGUAGACAAGACCAGCACACGUCAAAAUCUUCUCUGUGCACCAUGUGAACGAAGUAGGAAAGGUGAGAAAGCAAUGGCCAAUGUCUGGAUGACAUAUAAAGACCAAGUCCAACAGUCGUCACACCUACAGACAUUCUACAAACAAACAUGUGAGAAUAUUUUUAACCUUGCCAGUAAUUUUUAAAAUUCUAAAUAAAACUAGUGCAUCAUUUUGUAUAAUAAAUUUAGACAAUAAAAAAUAAAUCCGCAAGUUUGAGAAACCAAGUAUCCAAUACCAGAAACUUCUGUGAUGAACUAUUAUUUCAUAUAUUUCUAGUGGAUAGAAUUUGGCACAAACCUUCCAUGACGGGUCAGAAACCCGAGAAUCAUACUCCAAGAUAGGGGCUUGUGUGCAGGGGGCUUAUAGCAGGGUGAUUUGGGGUCAGUACCUGAGAGGGAAGGAGGAAGCAGGAGUGGGCAGGAGGUGAGUUGGAGCUGCAAUACCAUUGCAACGAGGGUCUCAGGCAAUCCUACAGGGAGCUCUGGGGCUGAGGCUAUCCUUCAGAGUUGUCUCAAAUUGGGGUGUUAGGGACCAGCCCAGUGGCAUAGUGGUUAAGUUCACAUGCUCUGCUUCAGUGGCCCGGGGUUCACCAGUUCAAAUCCUGGGCAUGCACCUACACACAGCUCAUCAAGCCAUGAUAUUGUGGCAUCACACGUACAAAGUAGAGGAAGAUUGGUACAAAUGUUAGCUCAGCAACAAUCUUCCUCAAGCAAAAAGAGGAAGAUUGGCAACAGAUGUUAGCUCAGAAACAAUCUUCCUCACCAAAAAACAAAAUAAAAUAAAAUUGAGGUGUUAAUUGCAGGUUCCCCCUUUGCAUAAGUUUGGGCAAGACAGCUCUCUCCAGCUUAUGGAAAGUCCCAGAAAGGGAAGUCAGCUGACUGUUAUUUGCCACCAACACUCCCACCAGCUCAGGGGAUGAAUGAACUGACCUGGAGGGGGAUCUGGGUGGCACACCAUGGUAUCCUCUGUGGACAACUCCUUACUCCACUUGGAUCCACUUCCUUCGUAUUAUAAACUCUAGGAGAAACUCCUCCAGUAUUCUGUUUGGUUUCUUUUCCUGGGGGAAUCUUACAAGAAGGUUAGGGAGAAAAACUUCCAUCUCUGCCACUGCACUGACCUUGAGGCAGUAACAGACAGUCUUUCUGCCAGGCUUCCACCAUCUGUUCUAGAGUCUCUUCGCCCUCAACCAGCACCUCUGCUGGUCUAGCUGGCUGGGCUGCUGAGGUGAUACAGACGUUUUAUCUCUGGAUAAGAGUGGCCACGGGCCACUGGUCACCAUAACCUUCCCAGGUGGUGUUGCUGCCACAUUUACCAACAAAAUUGGGCAACGGUUACCAAGAGCAACCCAAGUGGAUCACUUGAGUGCCAAAUAUAUUCUUCCCUGCCCCUAGUGUGUACGAGCAGCUCUACCUCUGCCUGAAGGUCAAGGUCAAUUGUUCAUGCCAGUAUGGUGACUACUUUCCUUGCCUAUUGGUCUCUUGGGACAAGAUCUUUGAAGUAACCGAGCAGGAGCUUAAUCCUAUUAAUUAUCUUAAUAGAACCUUGCUGUGUUCUUUGGUGGACCCAUUCACUCUCUAAGAAACAAGACUAUAAAAUGUCAGAAUCCAGAGUUAAAGAGAAGGGAAGCACAAAUUCUCUAAAGGAGUCACUGGGGCCGAUGAUAAGCAAGGUCAUUUUUACUUCUGCUUCUUGCUUCCUGGGUCUUGAAAACACAGCACCAUCUAAUAUUUAACAAUUUGAGGUAUAUACUACAUCUUAGAGGAUAGCGGUCCAUCUGGACAGGGCAUCCUCUCCAAGAUGGCACCUCAGCUGACCCUUCAACAGAUUGUUCCAGUGCUCUGUCAGUCCAGCAGCCCGUGGGUGGUGGAGUACAUGAUAGGACUGUGGAUACCAUGGUCAUGUGCCCACUGCUCACCUCCUUUGCUGUAUAAUGGGUGUCUUGGUCCAGUGAAAUUUUGUGUGGGAUCCCAUGCCUGUAGAUCAAACUCUUUCUAAGCCCUUGGUUAGCAGUGCUGGUUGAAGUCCUGCAGGCAGAAAAGGCAACCUGUAUUUGGAACAGAAGUCAAACCCAGUGUGGAAAGUCCGUCCACCUGGACCUAUCGCAGAUCGCUUUUCUGUUCUGAGACCCACACAAAGCUGGCAAUUUUAUGUGUCUCCCUGUAAAUGGGUUAAAACAAUAUUCCCAAGUGUGCAAUAAAUGCCCUGCCUCCAAAAAUCUAAGACACCUAUCAGGCAUUGUGUUCCUUCCUGGUGAUGGGAAGUGCGAGAUGCAAUAAUCUGCCCCAAACUUUGAAGAGAAUGUUCCAGCAUGCCUCUGACCCUUAGACUAAAAAUUGCAUUGAUGCUGUAGGCCUCUGAAUCUUCUUAAGGUUUUUCUCCCACCUUCUGGAACACGUUCUAUUAAUUUGUAUUUAUUUUCUGUUCUUGCAUAAAAAAUUACCACAAACGAGCUUAAAACAACACUCAUAUAUUACCUCAUGGUUCUAGAGGUCAGAAGACCUGUAGAAAGUCAAAGUCAAGACGUCAGCUACAUAGCAUCCCAGUUCACCACUGUUAAAAUAUUUAACCAUUCACCACCACCACAUGCCACAGGCUAUCUGUGUUCUACCUACCAUCAGUAGAUUUUACUUACUGCCCAAUUUUUUGCAUAAUACAUUGAACAUAAUGCACUAAGUAGCCACUAUUUGUAUUUACAACUUGCACUUUUCCCUCUAAAAUUAAGAUUUGUGGCCUGCUUCACUGCCAACUAUUCUGUGUGAAUAAAACAGUGAACGAUUUCACAUUUCAAAGGAAUCUCUUUUACUUGCUAUAAACAUGACUGGUCCUCCUUCGGAACUAAUCUCAGUGUACGCUUUCCUAUUUGCACCAUGACUUACAAAGUUAUUAUAUACGAAACGAACAAAAAUCUCCCAGAUCAUGGGUUCUCAGGAAUAAAUAGAACAAAAACUUGUCAAGCAAUUUUCCCUCAUAUAUAAUGUGACAAAUGUUAGGAGCUAUUUAAAACUCUGAAAUCAGUGGUUAUAGAACUGCAAAGUAAAAUAUUUACUAUUAUUAUGCACUUGUGAUAGUAAUCGCUCCUUCACAUUAUAUUUCAUUGAUAUUGUGCAAUACACAACAGAACAUUUCAUAAAGGACUUUUACCAAUAACCCUCAAGCAUGGUACUUAUCAUUAACUUUGUGGCUAAUUUUACAAGCCGCUUGUGAUUUGUGUUAUAAAUACUAUUUUUGUCAUACGUAGUAGUACUUUAAAUUUCUUCUUCCAUUUUGGUCUCUUCUUUGCCUUUAGCAACAAAAUUUAUUGCUAUUACACUAGAAAGCAUCAUUUUUGCCUAUCCUUGGAAAGCUGAUUGGUUUGCUUUGGAAGUUAUUUGUGGAGGAAACUGCUAGCAGUGUCCAUUCUCCCAUUCCUCCUUCGUAUUAGAACCUCCAAUACUAGAUGGGCACGAUGCUGCUCAGGUGGAGGACUACCUGCCCACCUCCCUUGCAGCUUGGAUGCUCAGGUAACUAAGUUCUGGUCAGUGAUAUACAUAAAUGUGUUUUUGUAGGACUUCUGGGAACUUUCCUUGAAAGGGAAUGGGUACGCUUAUCCUUACUUCUUGCUGGCUAGAGUAGAUUGUGAUGUGUGGAACGCCAGCAGCCAUCUUUGACCAGGAAGUAUUUGUGAAAACAAAAGCCACACAUUGAGAUGGUAGAAUAAAGAGAAAAGAGCCCAGGGCUCUGAUGACACCAUGGGCCCACUAUUCCAACCCUAGACUGCCUGCCCUCAGACUUCUUUGAGAAGGAGGAAUUAAUCUCCCUCUGUUCAAGCCACUGUUAUUUUGGGGUUAAUUUCUUGGAUGCAGCUGAAAUUAUUCCUAGUGAAUAUAUCGUUAUGCUUCGUUUUAAAAAGAUGCAAAUCUGCAAUGUCUUCAUGCCUCUAUUUGACAAUGUUAUUUUUUCCAAUUAUUUUAUUGAGGUUAUAUUGGUUUAUAACAUUGUAUAAUUUCAGUUGUACAUUAUUAUAUAUCAGUUUCUGUAUAGAGUGAAUUGUGCUCACCACCAAUAGUCUAAUUUUUAUCCAUCACCAUACAUAUGUGCCCCUUUACCCCUUUCACCCUCCCCCAACCCCUUUCCCCUCUGGUAACCAUUAAUCUGUUCUCUUUAUCCAUCUGUUUGUUUAUCUUCCACACAUGAGUGAAAUCAUAUGGUAUAUGUCUUUGUCUGGAUUAUUUCGCUUAGCAUAAUACCCUCAAGGUCCAUCCACGUUGCUGCAAAUGGGGUGAUUUUGUCUUUUUUAUGGCUGAGUAGUAUUCCAUUGUAUAUGUAUAUCACAUCUCCUUUAUCCAUUCAUCAGUUGAUGGGCACUUGGGUUGCUUCCACGUCUUGGCUAUUGUGAAUAAUGCUGCAGUGAACAUAGGGGUGCAUAAAUCUCUUUGAAUUAUUGAUUUCAUGUUCUUUGGAUAAAUACCAAAAGUAGUGGGAUAGCUGGGUCAUAUGGUAGUUUUCUAUUUUUAAUUUUUUGAGAAAUCUUCACAUUGUUUUCCAUAGUGACUGCACCAGUUUGUAUUUCCACCAGCAGUGUAUGAGGCUUCCCUUUUUUGUAUAUCCUCUCCAACAUUUUUAUUUUUUUGUCUUGGUAAUUAUAGCUAUUCUGACAGGUGUGAGGCAAUCUCUCAUUGUAGUUUUGAUUUGCAAUUUCCCAAUAAUUAGUGAUGAACAUCUUUUCAUGUGCCUAUUGGCCAUCUGCAUAUUUUCUUUGGAAAAAUGUCUGUUCAUAUUGUCUUCCCAUCUUUUGAUUGGGUUGUUUGUUUCUUUGUUGUUGAGUUGUAUGUGUUCUUAUAUAUUUUGGAAAUUAACCCCUUGUCAGAUACACAUGGUACUGGCACAAAGACAGACACACAGGUCAAUGGAACAGAAUCAAAAGCCCAGAAAUAAAACCACAAAUCUAUGGAUGGCUACUCUUCAGCAAAGGAGCCAAGAACAUACAAUGGAGAAAGGAAAGUCUCUUCACUAAGUGGUGCUGGGAAAACUGGACAGCAACAUGCAAAAGAAUGAAAGUAGACCAUUAUCUUACCUCAUACACAAAAAUUAACUCAAAAUGGAUUAAAGACUUAAAUGUAAGACCUGAAACCAUAAAACUCCUAGAAGAAAAUAUAGGCAGUACAUUCUUUAACAUCGAUCUUAGCAGCAUCUUAUUGAAUACCACGUCUACUCAGGCAAGGGAAACAAAAGAAAAAAUAAACAAAUGGGACUAUAUCAGACUAAAAAGCUUCUGCAAGGCAAAGGAAAUCAUGAACAAAAUGAAAAGACAACCCACCAACUGGGAGAAAACAUUAACAACAUUUUUCAAUGGAUAAUACACCAAAUAUUAGGGAAAAUUAAGUUGUCAAUCCAGUAACACUCAAAUUUCAGAUAUUUGUUGUUUUGCUUUCUAAUAAUACCUUUUAUCUUGUGCAAAAUCAUUGUUCCCAUGGGUUUUCCUGUCCUCGUUAAGGAAGUUCACAGUGUAUGUUGAUUAUAUUCACAUUCUCUAUUGAGAAGGUCUGUUCAUAUAUUCUGAGUUAUAGUAUUGAUAUGACUAUUGUUAUCAUUGUAUUUAUACUCUGAUAAAUACUUUUAAGCCUUUUAAUCCUCUUGUAUCAUUCAAGAUAUUAUGCAACAGCCAAAAUCAAAAAUAACAAACAUAAACAAUAACACUAAAUAAAAUGCAAUGGUAGAGAGAGGUUGGGGGAAAAUACUCAGUUUGCCAGAUUUUCCAUUCACGUGGUUUGUAAUGGCCUCAUGCCCAGUUUAGGUGUGAGGUGGACAGAGAGUGUGACAGCUGUAAAGUAGAAAGCUCCUGGUCUGAGAGCACGAAGGUAUGCACACGUAUAUAGUAUACAUAACACGUAUAUAAUAUAAGCUCACCUCUGUUAACUACUUCAGGUGACGACAAAGAAUGACAUUCAUUAAAAUGUUGAUCAUAAAUUGGUGGCUAAGAUAAUAUCUACAUGUGUUUUAAUCUGUAAUAUUAAGUAAAAACCAUUUGUUAAGUUUGGGCAGGAAUUGACUGUGAGAGUACAGUUCAAAGAAAACAUUAUGGACAGGUUGAGGAGGACCAGCUCUCUCUCCUGCCCAAGGGUAUGGCAGCUGGGACUGCAGGGGAGGCUCCUACAACCCACAGACCACUCCUUUCCAACUUUCAAGACCACCCUCAAACAAAAUGGCUUUAGGGACAGCUUCCACUAAAGCAUUUGUGAGGAGCACCUGCUCCUUGUACAUUCAUUUCUUAUAAGCUCCCAGGGCUGCUCAAACGUAUCACAUUAUCUCUGUGGGUCUCCACGCUUCCAGCCAAGAAUAAGAAAAGGUCACACAGCUCUACAUCCCCUACCUGAGCAAAGAGAGGUGUGGGAAGCAGGGAAUGCCGAAGCCUUUAAAGAAAUCUGGCUUCUGCCACUUAUGUCUGGUCUCUAUACAGUUUGGGGCAAACUCUGUCUGUUUAUGGAGAAGUGAUUGUAAACUUUUUGAAAUUCACACCCAACGUAAACACAGAAAUGCAGAUGAAGCGAAUGUUAGCAGUGACAGCUGACUCACGUGGCCUUUUGACACAAGCAAUGCUUUUAGAAUAUUUUGGUUUGUUAGGAAUGUAACAGAAUGUCUCUGAAGCCUAAAAUUAAUCUUAUACUGCAAAUACGUGAAAUAUAUAUGGACAAAAUGUUCAUUGCUUUUUCCUGGAAAAGUGCCACACUUUCUGAGGAUGUCUUCAUAAACUCCUGGGAUGACCAGUGGUCUUGGGAGCCCAUUCAGACCUCCUGGAUCUUUGAAGCAGAAAUGUCACAGCGAGAGAGUGAGUUUGUAGCAGAAGAACCAAGAAGCCCUGAAAAUACCACUUUGGUGUAAAAGAUUAAUAAAAAGGGGCUCUGACAGCCAGGGCACAGACUCAAACAAACUAUUUCUAAAACUGGGUACCCCUCUGAAUUCAUCAGGAAAACUGAAAAUGGCAGCAGCCUGUCUGCAGGUCCUCGGCAACACGAGCUUAGUAACGGAACUAUAAACGGCAGCUGUCUAGGAGAGGGGAUUGUACAUCAAAAGGAAAAGAAUCCUGUUGUGCUUUAUAUGGUUUCACAAUCUCUGGGCUCUACUCUAGUUGUAACUCCAAGAAGCUUUACUCUGAGCGUUGAAAGAAGAAUUUCUCUGCCAAGCUUAGUUAUAUGACUGCCCCUGGGCUUGGGGAAGAAGAGUAUAUUGUGAGGCUUUAGUUAGUCCGUCCUGGAAAGUGGAGGGUUAGGAGUCCCUCUCCCUAGCCCUCUCCAAGUCACUACUGGCUAGCAGGUGUAAGCCGUCUCGUCUUCUUAGCACGGGCAGAGGAACGAGAGGACCGAGGGGAAUGAAUUGAAGACCACAAACAGAGCUGCUGCGUCUGCUCACAGGUAGUGUCCUGCCUAGCUGCAGAGAUGCCAUUCCCAGGGUCAACAGUGUCAAUGGCACCGCCAGGGGUUGUGCAGUGUGGCAGCCCUGAGUCCAAAAGGCCCUUCUGCCUUAAGAUGUCUUCUCUUACAGUCCACCUCAGUGCCCAAUCCCACUCCUCUAGAGCCUUUUCAAUAACAGAUGUGUAAACACUUUACAAAGUAUUAAAAAAAAUGCAAAUCUGAGGGAUUUGGGGGAGUACGGUACUGUUUCCAGUAGUUAACAUAUCAAUAUGUUAUCUAGAGGGUCUCAUUUGUUAAUAUAUUAACCCAUUCUAAUAAGGUGAUCAAAUGAUGCGAUAUACUUAAAAGCACUGAGCGAACUUUAAGGAACUCUACAAAUAUAAGAUGUUGGAAUGAUGACAGUGUCUGGUUAAAGAAGUAGCGUAAGAAACAGAGCCUCAAAAGACUAAGAUGAAGACAAGUAGGGUUUAAUAGGGAAAUGUGAGUCCUGGGGAGCCAAGGCACGGCUUUAAAAUAGGGGAGCAGCCAUAGAUAGCACACUGUCACUGAGACCCCGAGUGCCAAGGGGGUUACAGAGGCCCCAGAGGAUAAAUGGACAUGCUAAAAAUAAACUUCAUCUCCUUAACAACUUACCUUUUACGAUCACAAACUCAUUCUAUCUUGCUGGCUCUCUGUCUUCUCCCAUAUCCAUUCUUGUCAGAUUUCAAUUUGUCGAAAUAAGAACAAAACUUCUCAGCUCACUCAGCCAGGGCUGCUAAAAGAUUAAUUAAAUGUUCAUAUCUCCUUGAGUUUCCUCUAGGGGCAUAAACACCCUGCCCAUUUUCUUUGCUUAACGAAAUCUUAGAAGGGCCAGCAACUGAAGGCGCUUUUUCUAGUUUGCUUCCCUCGAUUUCUGCCCUCUCCUCCCUGAGAACUGGCCAUGUUUUCCUCCAGAGUACUUCACUCAUAAAGUCAUCUUAUCAAACCCCUUGAGACAGGGCCAGCAUCUUCCUCCUCUUCCUGUUCCCCAUGGCUUAGCUAGGAAGGUGAUUCACGCUCUAAACUACACCGACUUCCUGAAGUCAGAGGCCUCACAGUUGUUCUAUUAGCCUCAGGGAAGGGAGGCAAAUUUUAUUAAGAAAAUUUUAAGGACCUGUUCUUAAGUACUUAAGAAGCUUAAUAUUUAUUUCUUCUCAACAAGUCGAAGAUGGUACCUAUUAUUUUAAUCUUUUAACAAUUGUGUUCUCGGUCCACGGAGAUACAGAAGCACAGGUCUGCAAGAGUCCAGGCUGCUCAUGACAGAGUCCCAAGAGGCUCAGAGAAGAGAUGGCAAGAUAGACAGCGAAACUUAAAAUCUACUGGGAGGAGAUAAAUAAAAAACAAAUGAAGGCAAUAUAAAGACCCUGGAUGUGGUAACUGCUAGUGUAUAUUUGAAAUUUAAACCCAAGUUAUAAUCAAAACAAUCUCCCUUUGUAAGAAAAUUAAUAUGAUUACAUCAAAAUCCUUCUCUUGUGUGACAUUGCAUUUCUAGUGCAAGGUAGAGGACUUGAACCCCGUUAGAAUAUUACUUUAUAUAACUCCAUAAACUUAUGAUCAUGGUUAAAUGAUAAUCUUUGGCAUUUCUUGGGGGAAAAAAAGAAGUUAUUUAAAUCAAAGCCAAAAGGAUUUAGCUGUAAACAGGAAAAUAUUGGCAUAGCGAUUUUCCCGUGUCAACUUGGUAAAGCUGAAACUGCACUUCCCAGAAUUCUUAAACCUGUAUAUUAUACAAAGUUAAAGUAGGUCAAAAUUGGAAUUUGCAUGAGAUUUGGAAGGUUGAAAUGAAUUAGCAGCCAUUAUUUUCUAAGGUUAUCAAGCUUAGAUGUGGGUGACAGAAAGAUGCAGGGCCCAGCGGGUUCCACAUUGCUGUCACUCUCCUAACUCAUGGUCAGGCUCUCCUUCCUGACUGCUCACUCUGCUGUUAUCCCAGGUUUGUCAACAGAUGCGUGGCUGUGGAUCUAGACAGGCAACAGCUCCCCACAGACCUCUCCAUCAGAUCCCUUUUUGGUCUCACUCUGGCAGCUGGAUGGGGCCGGCUUUCAGACUGACUGGUGGGUGUCUUCUGUGAUCCUCCAACUUACCCUUCAGACUUUCACUUCCCUAGCCUCCCACAAUUGUAUAGGGUCUAAUUCUUGUAAUAAAUCCCUUACCCAUAGCUCAAAAGGUCAGCUUUCUCAUUGAACCCUGAUGUUACAAUUGGUUAGAAAGAAUCAUUCAAUUUCAUUAACAUUUGAUGAGCAUCUAUCUGGGCCAACCCUCUUCGUAUAUACUCAUCUCAUUUUAUCCUCAUGACAUCUAUGUGAGAUUGGCAUCAUAACCCCCUCUUAUGGAUAGGAAAACAAAAGCUGAAAGGGGUUAACCGGUUUGUCUAAGAGAAUCCAGCUAGAAGAGAAAGAUGAGCAGAGCAAAGCAUUUCUCCUUGGCCUGCCACCCCCUGCCUUACACACACAUAUAUGAAGCCAGAUACCUGAAGGUUACUGUAGAUAUUAGGCCAAUUUGUUGUUUUCCUGUUUAGGUUGAGUUGCGACUCAGGGGUCUUCUCAAGUGUUUGUGAGCUUGUUUUGCGUAAGAAAGAGAAGGCCUUUGGGGAGGCUGCACUCACCAGACGACUGGCCCUCUGUAGCCUUUGAAGCCCAAAAAUCAGAUUGCCCUGGGGCUUAUCAGGAGCGACCCCUCUGUUUCCCUGAAGCUCCUCCUGCCAAGCUCCUUGGCUCUCUGAAAACCCCCUGCUUUCUGUUCCGGAGAAGAUGGAUUUGAGCCCACCCAGGCUCCCACCUACUCAUUUUGGCCAGUUUGAAUAAAUCUUUCUCCAUCUCCAAGCACCGAUGUCUCAGUGUUAGACUUGCUGUGCAAGGGAAACGAGAACUUGAGAUUAAGAGUUUUGGUGUCAUAUACACACUCAGCAAAGAAGACGCUACGUUUUCAUGUUCUCAAGAGCAGUAGAGAAAGAAAUGAAUGGUAUUGUGGCUAAUGAAAUUAAAGAAAUCAAAUAAUUAGUGAAACAGGGGCUAGGGCUAAAUUAGAAACAGGUGGUGGAGCGGGGAGACAGGCUGCUGGGAACACUCCACAAAUUGUCAAAACACCCCUCUAAGAUAGGCACUCUGCUACCUCCCUUUACAGAUUAGGAAACAAAGAAAGUAGAAAGCCUCAAGGCAACCAAAUCAAGAGAAAGCAAGUCUUCAAACACUGAAGUUCUUCAAUGGCAGAAUAUUCUGCCAGAAUUCUGAAAAAGCCACAUGACAUUCCCACAUAAAUAAGAAGAGGAAGAGAGCGGGGAGAGGUGACAAGAGAGAGACAGAAAGAAAGAGAGACAGAGAGAGAAAUACAGCAAGGAAGGAAGGCAAAGAAAGGAGAGUGACAAGAGAAAAUGAGAAGUAAAAAGGCAGAACUGGGAAGGAAGAGGGAGACGUUGGCGGGUGACCUCCAUUUAUUCCAGUAACAUUUCUUGGUCACCUGCUCUGAGUCUGGAACUGUGCAGACUCUGGGUAUAUGAUAUGAACAAGUCCCCUCCCCAUCCGUGAGGCUUACAUUCCACUAAGUAAACCAGACAUUAAUCUGCAAAUUUAAAAAUUGCUGCCUUGUCUGCAAUUUACUUUACUUCACAGACUGUGUGAUAUAUAGGCGGUCAUUUUAAUUUAUAUUCUAGAUGUGGUUGGUUAAUAUCUGAACUCCCUAAUCAGAAAUACACACUUUAGGAGUGGCUAGUUAGCAUUUGAAAGACUAAUCAAAAUUCACACUCCAGAGACAGCUACCAUAGGCUCUAGUUAUCUUCAUAUUUGAUCAACGCCAGAAGAUUUGUUGCUUAGUAUAAUGGAUGUUGGAAAUAAUUUUUCUUUG